Molecule: ribosomal RNA, 460 nt
Filed under: uncultured bacterium
Lineage: Bacteria
Description: partial 16S ribosomal RNA
Rfam family: Bacterial small subunit ribosomal RNA
Source: RNAcentral
CCUACGGGAGGCAGCAGUGAGGAAUAUUGGUCAAUGGACGAGAGUCUGAACCAGCCAAGUAGCGUGAAGGAUGACUGCCCUAUGGGUUGUAAACUUCUUUUAUAAAGGAAUAAAACGAGGCACGUGUGCCUUUUUGCAUGUACUUUAUGAAUAAGGCUCGGCUAACUCCGUGCCAGCAGCCGCGGUAAUACGGAGGAUCCGAGCGUUAUCCGGAUUUAUUGGGUUUAAAGGGAGCGUAGGUGGGUUGUUAAGUCAGUUGUGAAAGUUUGCGGCUCAACCGUAAAAUUGCAAUUGAUACUGGCAGUCUUGAGUACAGUUGAGGUAAGCGGAAUUCGUGGUGUAGCGGUGAAAUGCUUAGAUAUCACGAAGAACCCCGAUUGCGAAGGCAGCUUACUAAACUGUGACUGACAUUGAUGCUCGAAAGUGUGGGGAUCAAACAGGAUUAGAUACCCUUGUAGUC